RNAcentral lists this ribosomal RNA (200 nucleotides) under uncultured Lactobacillus sp. RNAcentral's name for it is "partial 16S ribosomal RNA". It matches the Rfam family "Bacterial small subunit ribosomal RNA", at positions 163 to 355 of the family's 1533-position model. The record is from RNAcentral. Lineage: Bacteria; Bacillati; Bacillota; Bacilli; Lactobacillales; Lactobacillaceae.
CUAAUACCGGAUAACAACAGAUGAUCGCCUAUAAACUGUUUAAAAGAUGGUUCUGCUAUCACUCUUGGAUGGACCUGCGGUGCAUUAGCUAGUUGGUAGGGUAACGGCCUACCAAGGCGAUGAUGCAUAGCCGAGUUGAGAGACUGAUCGGCCACAUUGGGACUGAGACACGGCCCAAACUCCUACGGGAGGCAGCAGCU